Molecule: unclassified non-coding RNA, 293 nt
Filed under: Corticium sp. (in: basidiomycete fungi)
Lineage: Eukaryota; Fungi; Basidiomycota; Agaricomycetes; Corticiales; Corticiaceae
Description: Corticium sp. (in: Fungi) partial contains 5.8S ribosomal RNA, internal transcribed spacer 2, and large subunit ribosomal RNA
Source: RNAcentral
CGCACCUUGCACUCCUUGGUAUUCCGAGGAGUAUGCUUGUUUGAGAGUAUUGUAAUCAUCAAUCCACCUUUUGCUUUUUGUGAAGGUUGGCUUGGAUUUGGAGACUGCUGGUCACUUAGGUGGUUUACAGCUUCUCUUGAAUGCAUUAGUUGAAUGAAGUUGCAACGCUAUGUGUAGUGUGAUAAUUAUCUUCACUGCAUAGUUGUAAUGAAGUUUGGCUUCUAACAGUCUCUUCAAUGAGACAACUUUGAACAUUUUACCUCAAAUCAAGUAGGACUACCCGCUGAACUUAA